GGGGACAACAGUUGGAAACGACUGCUAAUACCGCAUAACGUCUACGGACCAAAGGGGGCUUCGGCUCUCGCCCUUAGAUUAGCCCAAGUGGGAUUAGCUAGUUGGUGAGGUAAUGGCUCACCAAGGCGACGAUCCCUAGCUGGUUUGAGAGGAUGAUCAGCCACACUGGAACUGAGACACGGUCCAGACUCCUACGGGAGGCAGCAGUGGGGAAUAUUGCACAAUGGGCGCAAGCCUGAUGCAGCCAUGCCGCGUGUGUGAAGAAGGCCUUAGGGUUGUAAAGCACUUUCAGUAAGGAGGAAAGGUUAGUAGUUAAUACCUGCUAGCUGUGACGUUACUUACAGAAGAAGCACCGGCUAACUCCGUGCCAGCAGCCGCGGUAAUACGGAGGGUGCGAGCGUUAAUCGGAAUUACUGGGCGUAAAGCGUACGCAGGCGGUUUGUUAAGCGAGAUGUGAAAGCCCCGGGCUCAACCUGGGAACUGCAUUUCGAACUGGCAAACUAGAGUAUGAUAGAGGGUGGUAGAAUUUCAGGUGUAGCGGUGAAAUGCGUAGAGAUCUGAAGGAAUACCGAUGGCGAAGGCAGCCACCUGGGUCAAUACUGACGCUCAUGUACGAAAGCGUGGGGAGCAAACGGGAUUAGAUACCCCGGUAGUCCACGCCGUAAACGAUGUCUACUAGGAGCUGGGGUCUUCGGAACAC
Molecule: ribosomal RNA, 700 nt
Filed under: Pseudoalteromonas sp. PKA
Lineage: Bacteria; Pseudomonadati; Pseudomonadota; Gammaproteobacteria; Alteromonadales; Pseudoalteromonadaceae
Description: bacterial SSU rRNA
Rfam family: Bacterial small subunit ribosomal RNA
Source: RNAcentral